Molecule: long non-coding RNA, 381 nt
Organism: Prionailurus viverrinus (fishing cat)
Lineage: Eukaryota; Metazoa; Chordata; Mammalia; Carnivora; Felidae
Exons: 3
Source: RefSeq, a predicted model, not a curated record
UCUAUGAAAAAAAGUGUUUGCCAGUAUAUUCUUGUCAUAUACGGAAAGCCUGGAGGCACAGGAGGUUGAAACCCUGGGCCUAGAGACUGUAUGAAGGACCCAGGGACCCAAGCAGGAUUAUCCACGCAAAAGAAUUCUCAGUACUUCUAGGGGAAACUUGGAAGACACUGGAAGCAAGGAGAUCCCAAAUUAAAUAAAGUGCCUGUUAGCAGUCCUGGAAGACCAGCAAGAAGUCAGAGAGGAUGUUUUCCUUCUAAGCCAUCACUGAAGCUGUGACCUCUAGAACAUCGAAUCCGACUAUUCACAAGCAUUAAUGUGGUUAAAAACAAUCUUUAGGGAAGUUCAUAAGACCUUGUCUCAACGGAUCCAAGAUAUGUUCUG